CACGUAGGGGGCGAGCGUUGUCCGGAAUUACUGGGCGUAAAGGGUGCGUAGGUGGUUUCUUAAGUCAGAGGUGAAAGGCUACGGCUCAACCGUAGUAAGCCUUUGAAACUGGGAAACUUGAGUGCAGGAGAGGAGAGUGGAAUUCCUAGUGUAGCGGUGAAAUGCGUAGAUAUUAGGAGGAACACCAGUUGCGAAGGCGGCUCUCUGGACUGUAACUGACACUGAGGCACGAAAGCGUGGGGAGCAAACAGGAUUAGAUACCCCCGUAGUCCCUGAGCGGG
Molecule: ribosomal RNA, 281 nt
Filed under: uncultured prokaryote
Description: partial 16S ribosomal RNA
Rfam family: Bacterial small subunit ribosomal RNA
Source: RNAcentral